GGAUAUUUGCAGAAGAAGCGCCGGCUAACUACGUGCCAGCAGCCGCGGUAAUACGUAGGGCGCAAGCGUUAUCCGGAAUUAUUGGGCGUAAAGAGCUCGUAGGCGGUUUGUCGCGUCUGCUGUGAAAGCCCGGGGCUCAACCCCGGGUCUGCAGUGGGUACGGGCAGACUAGAGUGCAGUAGGGGAGACUGGAAUUCCUGGUGUAGCGGUGAAAUGCGCAGAUAUCAGGAGGAACACCGAUGGCGAAGGCAGGUCUCUGGGCUGUAACUGACGCUGAGGAGCGAAAGCAUGGGGAGCGAACAGGAUUAGAUACCCUGGUAGUCCAUGCCGUAAACGUUGGGCACUAGGUGUGGGGGACAUUCCACGUUUUCCGCGCCGUAGCUAACGCAUUAAGUGCCCCGCCUGGGGAGUACGGCCGCAAGGCUAAAACUCAAAGGAAUUGACGGGGGCCCGCACAAGCGGCGGAGCAUGCGGAUUAAUUCGAUGCAACGCGAAGAACCUUACCAAGGCUUGACAUGAACCGGAAAGGCCUGGAAACAGGUCCCCCACUUGUGGCCGGUUUACAGGUGGUGCAUGGUUGUCGUCAGCUCGUGUCGUGAGAUGUUGGGUUAAGUCCCGCAACGAGCGCAACCCUCGUUCUAUGUUGCCAGCGGGUUAUGCCGGGGACUCAUAGGAGACUGCCGGGGUCAACUCGGAGGAAGGUGGGGACGACGUCAAAUCAUCAUGCCCCUUAUGUCUUGGGCUUCACGCAUGCUACAAUGGCCGGUACAAAGGGUUGCGAUACUGUGAGGUGGAGCUAAUCCCAAAAAGCCGGUCUCAGUUCGGAUUGAGGUCUGCAACUCGACCUCAUGAAGUUGGAGUCGCUAGUAAUCGCAGAUCAGCAACGCUGCGGUGAAUACGUUCCCGGGCCUUGUACACACCGCCCGUCAAG
Molecule: ribosomal RNA, 931 nt
Filed under: uncultured bacterium
Lineage: Bacteria
Description: bacterial SSU rRNA
Rfam family: Bacterial small subunit ribosomal RNA
Source: RNAcentral